This 449-nucleotide ribosomal RNA is filed under the name uncultured bacterium. RNAcentral describes it as "partial 16S ribosomal RNA". It matches the Rfam family "Bacterial small subunit ribosomal RNA", at positions 29 to 523 of the family's 1533-position model. The record is from RNAcentral.
AACGAACGCUGGCGGCAUGCCUAACACAUGCAAGUCGAACGAGAUCUUCAGGUCUAGUGGCGCACGGGUGCGUAACGCGUGGGAAUCUGCCCUUUGGUUCGGAAUAACAGUUGGAAACGACUGCUAAUACCGGAUGAUGACGAAAGUCCAAAGAUUUAUCGGCAGAGGAUGAGCCCGCGUAGGAUUAGCUAGUUGGUGUGGUAAAGGCGCACCAAGGCGACGAUCCUUAGCUGGUCUGAGAGGAUGAUCAGCCACACUGGGACUGAGACACGGCCCAGACUCCUACGGGAGGCAGCAGUGGGGAAUAUUGGACAAUGGGCGAAAGCCUGAUCCAGCAAUGCCGCGUGAGUGAUGAAGGCCUUAGUGUUGUAAAGCUCUUUUACCCGGGAUGAUAAUGACAGUACCGGGAGAAUAAGCUCCGGCUAACUCCGUGCCAGCAGCCGCAGUAA